CGUAGAGACUGAAUCCGAGUAUUCGCCUCAAGGCAAAUACUAGGUGAAGAUAGCAGAUUUAACAACUGUUAUAAAACGUUGGCUCCCUCCCCAGUUUUGAUUUUAGAAAUUUCUAUUUUCAAAAUUGGGGAAGGAUGAAGAUAUAGUCCAUGCCCCAAUGAAAAUUGGGG
Molecule: non-coding RNA, 170 nt
Filed under: Parcubacteria group bacterium GW2011_GWA1_40_21
Lineage: Bacteria
Source: RNAcentral